GACGAACGCUGGCGGCGUGCUUAACACAUGCAAGUCGAACGGGAAGGCCCUGCUUUUGUGGGGUGCUCGAGUGGCGAACGGGUGUGUAACACGUGAGUAACCUGCCCUUGACUUUGGUAUAACUUCAGGAAACUGGGGCUAAUACCGGAUAGGAGCUCCUGCUCCAUGGUGUGGGUUGGAAAGUUUCGGCGGUUGGGGAUGUACUCGCGGCUUAUCAGCUUGUUGGUGGGGUAGUGGCUUACCACGGCUUUGACGGGUAGCCGGCCUGAGAGGGUGACCGGCCACAUUGGGACUGAGAUACGGCCCAGACUCCUACGGGAGGCAGCAGUGGGGAAUAUUGCACAAUGGGCGGAAGACUGAUGCAGCAACGCCGCGUGCGGGAUGACGGCCUUCGGGUUGUAAACAGCGUUCGCCUGUGACGAAGCGUGAGUGACGGUAAUGGGUAAAGAAGCACCGGCUAACUACGUG
This 468-nucleotide ribosomal RNA is filed under the name uncultured bacterium. RNAcentral describes it as "partial 16S ribosomal RNA". It matches the Rfam family "Bacterial small subunit ribosomal RNA", at positions 28 to 507 of the family's 1533-position model. The record is from RNAcentral.